ACACUAGCCGUCAAUCCCUUUUCGUCUCUCAAAAUCAAAACUAUCGAGUUUUGUCCCCAUGCCUAUGACUAUACCUUUCUCUCCCUUGUAUCAUCCAUCUUCCUUUCUUUAGGUUUACAGAUCUUUGCUUCAAUAUGGGAAAACUCAUAGGCGUGGGAGCUUGGGAAAAAAAUAGAGCAAUUAUCUGUGUGCGUGAUUUAAGCACACAUGCAUACACUAAUAUUUUUUUCCUACGCCUCCCAUGCCCUUGAUUUUUCCCUUCGUAUUCUCUCCAAUCGAUCAUCACACCUGUCGGGGUCUGCAACUUCUUCUUGAGUUAUAUCAGAUAUCUCGUGUGUUUGGACUUGUCAUGAAGCUGUUCUUGUUUUUCUUGGAAGUGCAGUGGUGAAAAUAGCGUCAACAAAUCAAGAUCCACGAAAUCCAAGUGCAGCUGCUUUUGUUCGACCUCUGUUCUACUUUUUCUUUUUUUACAGCACUAGAUUUUGCUCUUCUAUUGUACUUUUUUCAGAUCUGGAUUUGUUUUGAAUGGUUAUGUUGGGUUUU
Molecule: long non-coding RNA, 543 nt
Organism: Prosopis cineraria
Lineage: Eukaryota; Viridiplantae; Streptophyta; Magnoliopsida; Fabales; Fabaceae
Exons: 2
Source: RefSeq, a predicted model, not a curated record